RNAcentral lists this transfer RNA (75 nucleotides) under Ensifer sp. LC384. Its description in RNAcentral is "tRNA-Cys". It matches the Rfam family "tRNA". From Rfam's summary of the family: Transfer RNA (tRNA) molecules are approximately 80 nucleotides in length. Their secondary structure includes four short double-helical elements and three loops (D, anti-codon, and T loops). Lineage: Bacteria; Pseudomonadati; Pseudomonadota; Alphaproteobacteria; Hyphomicrobiales; Rhizobiaceae. RNAcentral also lists the same sequence under 1 other name. The record is from RNAcentral.
GAGUUGGUGCCGGAAUUGGUUACGGGGCGGAUUGCAAAUCCGUUCAUGCGGGUUCGAGUCCCGUCCAGCUCUCCA